CGGAGCUGAAGGCUCUGCCGUGGGAAGGGAGCGCCGCAAAUAGCGGUCGUUUCAAGGAGACCGGAGAGCAGCGAUGUCCCGGGCACAAUGCCUAUGUUAUAUAGGCAAGCUGAAGCUGGAAUGGAAAAAGAAAGUUCCUACUGCAAAAGCAGCAAAGCUGGAAUGUGCUCUGAAGACUCAAGAUUGCUUUUCAGCUCUGUAGGUGUGAAUGGCACCACUCUGUGUGUUCCAAUUGCUCCCCCUGAACAGCACUGCUUCUCCUGAACAAUCAGCUCCCUCUGGAAGUGCCAGUCCACAACCCUCCUGGAGCUAAGUAACCUGGAUUUUUGACCUCCCGCCAGCUCCUCAGCUCUGUCAGGCAAGUUAAUACUUGGGAAGGGAUGUGGAAAAUAUAAAUAAGACACCCUGAGCAAGAAAAGCAUGCUCAAGUCUGACUGUGUGAGUCCGAGAAUCCGGGGGAAUAUGCAAAGCACAGUCUGUUUAUGCAAGUUAGUAACUAGAAGAGCCAUGAAAAGGAAAGCUGUGAGGAGCAGUUCUGACUAUAAGCAAACCUAAUAAUUGCUUUGCGUCGUUCACAUCUGAUUUCAGAUUCAGUGAGAAGGAGGAUCUGUGUACAAUUCUGUUUUGAGAUGUACAAAGCCUUCUACUAGCUGAAAUCAAUGUAUGAAGUCAGGGCAAGGAUAAGACAGCGCAGACAGGUCAGAGUUUGAAACCCCAAAUUUUUGCUCUAUGUAAUCCCGCACUGUUAUCAGGGCACACCAUCCUGUUCUGCAGUUGCUACAGCUACAA
RNAcentral lists this long non-coding RNA (789 nucleotides) under Pavo cristatus (Indian peafowl). Its description in RNAcentral is "lncRNA (ENSPSTG00000017446.1)". The record is from RNAcentral. Lineage: Eukaryota; Metazoa; Chordata; Aves; Galliformes; Phasianidae.